RNAcentral lists this long non-coding RNA (269 nucleotides) under Brassica napus (rape). Its description in RNAcentral is "long non-coding RNA (BNAP_LNC017519)". Lineage: Eukaryota; Viridiplantae; Streptophyta; Magnoliopsida; Brassicales; Brassicaceae. The record is from RNAcentral.
UUUGUAAAAUCCAAAAAAUCAAAUUUAUAUACAAAAAUCGUUUUGUAAAAUACAAAAAAUCGAAUUUAUACACAAAAAUCAAAUUUGGAUACAAAAGUCGAUUUUAUAAAUACAAAAAUAAUAAAAAAUUUAUAAAAAAAUUCUAAAUCAAUUCAACAAAACAAAUUAUUCAACCAAAUCACAAUUCUAAACCUAUUAUACAACCAAAUCACAAUCCUAAACAAUCACCCUAACAAAAAUCUAUCAAAUCUACACAAAAACCUAACAAA